GUCUUUUAAUUCUGUUACUGUGUGGAAGUAUAAAUCAGCAGUGAACCCACAAGUUACAGAAUUGGGAGAGGCUCUAACAAGAGCAUAAGAUGGACUCCUUCCUUUGCAGCCAUGGUAACCAUGAUCAUCACAAAAACGGGUUUCAUUGUCCUUCUUGCUAGAAGGUGGUG
Long non-coding RNA from Lagopus leucura (white-tailed ptarmigan), 170 nucleotides. RefSeq lists it as uncharacterized. The transcript has 3 exons. Lineage: Eukaryota; Metazoa; Chordata; Aves; Galliformes; Phasianidae. The record is from RefSeq and is a predicted model, not a curated record.